GUUCAGGAUGAACGCUAGCUACAGGCUUAACACAUGCAAGUCGAGGGGCAUCAGGAAGAAAGCUUGCUUUCUUUGCUGGCGACCGGCGCACGGGUGAGUAACACGUAUCCAACCUGCCCUUUACUCGGGGAUAGCCUUUCGAAAGAAAGAUUAAUACCCGAUAGCAUAAUGAUUCCGCAUGGUUUCAUUAUUAAAGGAUUCCGGUAAAGGAUGGGGGUGCGUUCCAUUAGGUUGUUGGUGAGGUAACGGCCCACCAAGCCUUCGAUGGAUAGGGGUUCUGAGAGGAAGGUCCCCCACAUUGGAACUGAGACACGGUCCAAACUCCUACGGGAGGCAGCAGUGAGGAAUAUUGGUCAAUGGGCGCUAGCCUGAACCAGCCAAGUAGCGUGAAGGAUGAAGGCUCUAUGGGUCGUAAACUUCUUUUAUAUAAGAAUAAAGUGCAGUAUGUAUACUGUUUUGUAUGUAUUAUAUGAAUAAGGAUCGGCUAACUCCGUGCCAGCAGCCGCGGUAAUACGGAGGAUCCGAGCGUUAUCCGGAUUUAUUGGGUUUAAAGGGAGCGUAGGUGGACUGGUAAGUCAGUUGUGAAAGUUUGCGGCUCAACCGUAAAAUUGCAGUUGAUACUGUCAGUCUUGAGUACAGUAGAGGUGGGCGGAAUUCGUGGUGUAGCGGUGAAAUGCUUAGAUAUCACGAAGAACUCCGAUUGCGAAGGCAGCUCACUGGACUGCAACUGACACUGAUGCUCGAAAGUGUGGGUAUCAAACAGGAUUAGAUACCCUGGUAGUCCACACAGUAAACGAUGAAUACUCGCUGUUUGCGAUAUACAGUAAGCGGCCAAGCGAAAGCAUUAAGUAUUCCACCUGGGGAGUACGCCGGCAACGGUGAAACUCAAAGGAAUUGACGGGGGCCCGCACAAGCGGAGGAACAUGUGGUUUAAUUCGAUGAUACGCGAGGAACCUUACCCGGGCUUAAAUUGCAGUGGAAUGAUGUGGAAACAUGUCAGUGAGCAAUCACCGCUGUGAAGGUGCUGCAUGGUUGUCGUCAGCUCGUGCCGUGAGGUGUCGGCUUAAGUGCCAUAACGAGCGCAACCCUUAUCUUUAGUUACUAACAGGUUAUGCUGAGGACUCUAGAGAGACUGCCGUCGUAAGAUGUGAGGAAGGUGGGGAUGACGUCAAAUCAGCACGGCCCUUACGUCCGGGGCUACACACGUGUUACAAUGGGGGGUACAGAAGGCAGCUAGCGGGUGACCGUAUGCUAAUCCCAAAAUCCUCUCUCAGUUCGGAUCGAAGUCUGCAACCCGACUUCGUGAAGCUGGAUUCGCUAGUAAUCGCGCAUCAGCCACGGCGCGGUGAAUACGUUCCCGGGCCUUGUACACACCGCCCGUCAAGCCAUGGGAGCCGGGGGUACCUGAAGUACGUAACCGCAAGGAUCGUCCUAGGGUAAAA
Molecule: ribosomal RNA, 1442 nt
Filed under: uncultured organism
Description: SSU rRNA
Rfam family: Bacterial small subunit ribosomal RNA
Source: RNAcentral